GUGGGCACUUUACGGGAUGAGCACUGGGUGUUAUUCUAUAUGUUGGCAAAUUGAACACCCAUAAAAAAUAAAUUAAAAAAUAAAAAAUAAAAAAUAAAAUAAAAAAAUACGGGAUACCAGUUUUGAUUUAUUCCCUCUUAGCUCCAAAUUCACGAUUCUAGCUUUACCGGUUGAAAAAUGUUCUGGUUCCUUUAAAUGUUUUUUCCUGUGGCUUGCGUGACCGAGUUCUGCCUGCAGGGGGCGCCUAAAACACAGCAGGAAAGACUUGCUUCCUGGUUCUGGCAGGGCAGGCUCUUGAGGAGGCUCCUGGCUUGUCCAGCAGCUGGCUCCGCACCACAUACUGCUUCUCAGAGGACGGAUAGCUGCAGGGCAGUGUGUAGUAAUACAUCAGCGUCUUGUCCCAUGGCAACUCCCGGUGCACAGCACUCCCAGACCCCCCAGGGGGCGUAUUUCCAGGAACUCCCAGAGGGCACAUUCUAGAAAGUUCCACCUGAGAGGCGUUACUGCCGUUGUGUGAGGUGCUCGACGGGCUCCUGGAACAAGGAAAGAUGUCCGAUAAAGCAGAGGAGUUUGCUGUUGGGCCUGAAAAUCAAAUGAAACGUCGUGGAGAACCCAUUAGUCCUCCUCCAUCUAAGAGAAUGAUGAGCAUGGCGCUGCUGUCAAUGAAACAGGAAGGAGAGGGAGUAUCCUACCCUGGGGGCUCAGCCAUGUCAUUGGAAGAUGACCCCAAGGUCACAGGAAUGUCUGUGUCAGGAGAAAUGCCAGAUAAAUUGCAGAUACCAGUGGAAAUCAGUGCUGAAAUGAAACACCAAUUAAAGAAGGAAAUUCAACGUUUUGGACAAAAAUAUGAAAGAGUCUUCAAAUUGCUUGAAGGAGUGCAAGGACCUCUGGAAUUGCGGGAAAAAAUUUGUUGUAUUUUCCGUCAAGGGAACAGCAAGGUGGGUAUAGAGAGAAACUCUAUAGCACAUUGGGCCCAGUGCAGUGCUGGGCAUGUGGUGGGAUCAGGCCCUGCCUGGCAUUUCUCAAACCCUGGUCAUUAUCAUUCAGAGUUCAUGUUGUCUCUAGUUGUUUAGAUUGAUAUUCUCUGAGUCUCAUUCUUCCAAGUUCAAGGAGACUUCUGUUCAUACUGGAGUUUGAGGUAGGUGUUGACUGUGAACUGACAUUCUUUGUUUACGGAUUCAUCCCUUACCAUGAUGGUCCAUUUUCUAUUCCCAUGUAUAUUGUAAGCUCCCCUUUCUCUCCCCCACAGAGCUUCCCACAUUGUGGGUUCUUUGGGUGUCUUUUGGUUAAUGACUUAUUUCUUUAUUUUCAGAUUUAAAAGGCAAGACUUAAUAAGGCACCUGGAGAAGGUACUAGAAAAAUUAGAAUCUGACUACUUCCUCAACAAAGACAAAUUAUACCCCAAACUUAUAAUUCUGUUAUCAAAAUUAUCAGUGAGUAACCAGAACCAGUUUGCUGUCCUAGAAUGGAACCGGAUAUUGUUGAUGCUUUCUAGCACAUGUUAGUUAAUAAAAUUAUCUUCUUGAGAUUAAGAAAAGGCA
This 1541-nucleotide long non-coding RNA is filed under the name Vulpes vulpes (red fox). Its description in RNAcentral is "lncRNA (ENSVVUG00000025371.1)". The record is from RNAcentral. Lineage: Eukaryota; Metazoa; Chordata; Mammalia; Carnivora; Canidae.